UAAAAUUCAUUCCUGACAACAAUGUAGAAUACGUCAGCCUUGAUAACUGAAGCAUUAGUUCUAAGCAAAAACAUCUAAAUGGAACUCAAGGCACAUAUAUUAGUUCAACAAAACACAAGCUUUGCAUCUGUUUGAGCUUGUCUAUUCUCGACAGUAUUCAAAAGAUUUACAACAUCACUAAUGCAACUUGAAAAAGUAACAUAGAUAAGGAAAGAUCAGACAAGUUUUGCUUUUUUGCUGCUGCCAGAGUCAUCGACUUCUGUAGGUUCUUCUUCUAUCUCUCCAGCAUCUCUAAACAUUCUUGUGAGACGUAUUCGUGGUUUUGAAGAAGAUCGUUGUUCCUUUAAAAUGAAAAAGUGAGCAAUGUUAAUAAAUUGAACAAGACGAAUGGAAAGCAAAAUUAUUUAAAAAAAAAAACCUGAAGAACCAGCUUCUGAGUUCUGCUCUUCAGCUUGGAGAAAUUGAUUCUGAACACUGAUGCUGGAAUCUUUGUUGAAAGAAGAUGUAGCUGCAUUUUCUUCAAAGUAAUAAGGAAUUGUGUAACAGUGAUUUCCACUACCAUCCUUAGUAUUUCCUGGUUUCAACUGGGCAAUGAACAGAAUAGACAAGUGGUCCAUUGA
This 620-nucleotide long non-coding RNA is filed under the name Coffea arabica (coffee). RNAcentral's name for it is "long non-coding RNA (CARA_LNC008088)". The record is from RNAcentral. Lineage: Eukaryota; Viridiplantae; Streptophyta; Magnoliopsida; Gentianales; Rubiaceae.